Gracilinanus agilis (Agile Gracile Mouse Opossum) is the source of this 107-nucleotide small nuclear RNA. The record is from RefSeq and is a predicted model, not a curated record. Lineage: Eukaryota; Metazoa; Chordata; Mammalia; Didelphimorphia; Didelphidae.
AUGCUUAUUUUAGCAGCACAUGUACUAAAAUUGAAACAAUACAGUGAAGAUCAGCAUGGCCCUUGUUUAAGAAUGACAUGCACAUUCAUAAAGCUUUCUAUAUUUUU